Molecule: long non-coding RNA, 1884 nt
Filed under: Oncorhynchus kisutch (coho salmon)
Lineage: Eukaryota; Metazoa; Chordata; Actinopteri; Salmoniformes; Salmonidae
Description: lncRNA (ENSOKIG00005030532.1)
Source: RNAcentral
AUGAAUGUCCUGACUAUGACUGGUCCACCUAGCUAUCUGGAGAUAAAUGUACUGACUAUGACUGGUCCACCUAGCUAUCUGAAGAUGAAUGUCCUGACUAUGACUGGUCCACCUAGCUAUCUGGAGAUGAAUGUACUGACUAUGACUGGUCCACCUAGCUAUCUGAAGAUGAAUGUCCUGACUAUGACUGGUCCACCUAGCUAUCUGAAGAUGAAUGUACUGACUGUGACUGGUCCACCUAGCUAUCUGAAGAUGAAUGUCCUGACUAUGACUGGUCCACCUAGCUAUCUGGAGAUGAAUGUACUGACUAUGACUGGUCCACCUAGCUAUCUGGAGAUGAAUGUACUGACUAUGACUGGUCCACCUAGCUAUCUGGAGAUGAAUGUACUGACUAUGACUGGUCCACCUAGCUAUCUGAAGAUGAAUGUCCUGACUAUGACUGGUCCACCUAGCUAUCUGGAGAUGAAUGUACUGACUAUGACUGGUCCACCUAGCUAUCUGAAGAUGAAUGUACUGACUAUGACUGGUCCACCUAGCUAUCUGGAGAUGAAUGUCCUGACUAUGACUGGUCCACCUAGCUAUCUGGAGAUGAAUGUACUGACUAUGACUGGUCCACCUAGCUAUCUGGAGAUGAAUGUACUGACUAUGACUGGUCCACCUAGCUAUCUGAAGAUGAAUGUCCUGACUAUGACUGGUCCACCUAGCUAUCUGAAGAUGAAUGUACUGACUGUGACUGGUCCACCUAGCUAUCUGAAGAUGAAUGUACUGACUAUGACUGGUCCACCUAGCUAUCUGGAGAUGAAUGUACUGACUAUGACUGGUCCACCUAGCUAUCUGAAGAUGAAUGUACUGACUAUGACUGGUCCACCUAGCUAUCUGGAGAUGAAUGUACUGACUAGGACUGGUCCACCUAGCUAUCUGGAGAUGAAUGUACUGACUAUGACUGGUCCACCUAGCUAUCUGGAGAUUAAUGUACUGACUAUGACUGGUCCACCUAGCUAUCUGGAGAAUAAUGUCCUGACUAUGACUGGUCCACCUAGCUAUCUGGAGAUGAAUGUACUGACUAUGACUGGUCCACCUAGCUAUCUGGAGAAUAAUGUCCUGACUAUGACUGGUCCACCUAGCUAUCUGAAGAUGAAUGUACUGACUAUGACUGGUCCACCUAGCUAUCUGGAGAUGAAUGUACUGACUAUGACUGGUCCACCUAGCUAUCUGGAGAUGAAUGUACUGACUAUGACUGGUCCACCUAGCGAUCUGAAGAUGAAUGUCCUGACUAUGACUGGUCCACCUAGCUAUCUGGAGAUGAAUGUACUGACUAUGACUGGUCCACCUAGCUAUCUGGAGAUGAAUGUACUGACUAUGACUGGUCCACCUAACUAUCUGAAGAUGAAUGUACUGACUAUGACUGGUCCACCUAGCUAUCUGGAGAUGAAUGUACUGAUUAUGACUGGUCCACCUAGCUAUCUGGAGAUGAAUGUACUGACUAUGACUGGUCCACCUAGCGAUCUGAAGAUGAAUGUCCUGACUAUGACUGGUCCACCUAGCUAUCUGGAGAUGAAUGUACUGACUAUGACUGGUCCACCUAGCUAUCUGGAGAUGAAUGUACUGACUAUGACUGGUCCACCUAACUAUCUGAAGAUGAAUGUACUGACUAUGACUGGUCCACCUAGCUAUCUGGAGAUGAAUGUACUGAUUAUGACUGGUCCACCUAGCUAUCUGGAGAUGAAUGUACUGACUAUGACUGGUCCACCUAACUAUCUGGAGAUGAAUGUCCUGACUAUAAGUCACUCUGGAUAUGAGCGUCUGAUAAAUGACGAGGAUGGGUAUAUGUAUAUCUAUUUGCUUGUCAUGGUCACAUGGUCUGGGCAGCCAUUUUACCUCUAG